This 393-nucleotide long non-coding RNA is filed under the name Brassica rapa (field mustard). RNAcentral's name for it is "long non-coding RNA (BRAP_LNC006626)". Lineage: Eukaryota; Viridiplantae; Streptophyta; Magnoliopsida; Brassicales; Brassicaceae. The record is from RNAcentral.
UCCCACAAAAAUUUAAAAACUACUCCCUAAAAUCCCCAAAUAAGGAUCAGUAAUUGAAGGGUUUUGGCACUGUUAGCGGGCCCCACCGACACGUGGCAAUCCACGAUUGGUUUAUUUUAUAUAUAUAUACUUUUUUUUAGAAAACAAAAAAAAAAGAAAAAAAAAACAAAACUUAAGGACCCAAGCGAUAAUCAUGGUCUUAGCACAUAAACAACAAGUUUUUUAUUUAAAGCACACAUAGUUUGGUUGCUAGCAGUAUUUUUACACCUGACUUGGAAAACUCAUCAGUUAUCCGAUAAGUAAUCCAAUUUGAGUUUUAAAAAAUAUUUAUAAUUUAAAAGUGAUAAAUUCUGUAAAAAUCACUAAACCCCGCAAUUCCGCUAUCAGUUAAAC